GCUCAGUAACACGUCGAUAAUCUGCCCUUAGGUCUGGAAUAACCUUGGGAAACUGAGGCUAAUACCGGAUAGAGGAUUAAUUCUGGAAUGAAUUUUCCUUUAAAGAUUACGCCUAAGGAUGAGUUGGCGACCGAUUAGGUUGUUGGUGGUGUAACGGACCACCAAGCCGAAGAUCGGUAGGGGCCUUGAAAGAGGUAGCCUCGAGAAGGGCACUGAGAUACUGGCCCUAGCCCACGGGGUGCAGCAGGCGCGAAACCUUUACACUACACGAAAGUGUGAUAAGGGGACUCUAAGUGCUUAUGCUUUGCAUAGGCUUUUGCCAAAAGUAAAUAUUUUGGCGAAUAAGUGGUGGGUAAGACGGGUGCCAGCCGCCGCGGUGACACCUGCGCCACGAGUGGGAACCACUUUUAUUGGGCCUAAAGCGUCCGUAGCCGAUCAACUAAAUUUUCUGUGAAAUUGUUAAGCUUAACUUAACGGUGUGCAGAAAACACUAGUUGAAUUGGAACUGGGAGGAGUCAGAAGUAUGUUUAGGGGAGCGGUAAAAUGCUAUAAUCCUAGACAGACUACCUGUGGUGAAAACGUCUGACCAGCACAGAUUCGACGGUGAGGGACGAAGCUAGGGAGCAUCCCGGAUUAGAUAC
RNAcentral lists this ribosomal RNA (641 nucleotides) under uncultured archaeon. RNAcentral's name for it is "bacterial SSU rRNA". It matches the Rfam family "Archaeal small subunit ribosomal RNA", at positions 88 to 736 of the family's 1478-position model. The record is from RNAcentral.